AUGAUAUCAAAAAAAAAAUAAGGAAGAAGGAAGAUUUUACCUAUUUAAGUUUUUUUCUCUAAGAGAUAUGGCUAAGCAGGUGUCACUUGCGGGUGAUUCUGUAAUAGACUCAUAAACCCAGUAUUAGACUGUUAGCUAAACUAGCAGGGACACACCAGAUACCUCAUCAAAAGAAAAAGAAAAAGAAACA
Molecule: long non-coding RNA, 190 nt
Organism: Sinocyclocheilus rhinocerous
Lineage: Eukaryota; Metazoa; Chordata; Actinopteri; Cypriniformes; Cyprinidae
Exons: 3
Source: RefSeq, a predicted model, not a curated record